RNAcentral lists this ribosomal RNA (353 nucleotides) under uncultured bacterium. RNAcentral describes it as "bacterial SSU rRNA". It matches the Rfam family "Bacterial small subunit ribosomal RNA", at positions 163 to 507 of the family's 1533-position model. The record is from RNAcentral.
CUAAUACCGCACUACGCCCGUAGGAGGGGAAGGGGGGGAUCGCAAGACCUCUCGCUACAGGAGCGGCCGAUGUCCGAUUAGCUAGUUGGCGAGGUAAAGGCUCACCAAGGCGACGAUCGGUAGCUGGUCUGAGAGGAUGAUCAGCCACACUGGGACUGAGACACGGCCCAGACUCCUACGGGAGGCAGCAGGUGGGGUAAUUUUGGACAAUGGGGGCAACCCUGAUCCAGCCAUUCCGCGUGAGUGAAGAAGGCCUUCGGGUUGUAAAGCUCUUUCAGCCGGGAAGAAAUCGUCUUGGAUAAUACCUGAGGCGGAUGACGGUACCGGAAGAAGAAGCACCGGCUAACUACGUG